UAUCGUGAAACCGCGAACGGCUCAUUAUAACAGCUAUAAUUUACUUGAUCUUGACAAUCCUUACUUGGAUAACUGUGGUAAUUCUAGAGCUAAUACAUGCACCAAAGCUCUGACCUUACGGAAAGAGUGCAUUUAUUAGAACAAAACCAAGCGGCCUUCACUGGUCGUAAUUUGUUGACUCAGAAUAACUAAGCUGAUCGCAUGGUCUUGUACCGGCGACGUGUCUUUCAAGUAUCUGCCUUAUCAACUUUCGAUGGUAGUGUAUCUGACUACCAUGGUUGUGACGGGUAACGGAGGAUAAGGGUUUGACUCCGGAGAAGGGGCCUGAGAAAUGGCCACUACGUCUAAGGAUGGCAGCAGGCGCGCAAAUUACCCACUCUCAGAAUGAGGAGGUAGUGACGAAAAAUAACGAGAUCGUUCUCUACGAGGCCGAUCAUCGGAAUGGGUACAAUCUAAACCCUUUAACGAGUAUCUAUGAGAGGGCAAGUCUGGUGCCAGCAGCCGCGGUAAUUCCAGCUCUCAAAAUGCAUAGAAUUAUUGCUGCGGUUAAAAAGCUCGUAGUUGGAUCUGUGCUAGGGAUUUGGUCGACCUUUUGGGUUCGUACUGAGUUCCCUGGCUUUUUCUGCUGGUUUUCCCAUGAUGGCUUUAAACGGCCGUGAUGGGUGGCUGGUGAUUUUACUUUGAACAAAUCAGAGUGCUUCAAACAGGCGUUUCGCUUGAAUGUUCGUGCAUGGAAUAAUAGAAGAGGAUUUCGGUUCUAUUUUAUUGGUUUUAUAGACUGAAAUAAUGGUAAC
RNAcentral lists this ribosomal RNA (794 nucleotides) under Ditylenchus gallaeformans. RNAcentral describes it as "SSU rRNA". It matches the Rfam family "Eukaryotic small subunit ribosomal RNA", at positions 77 to 872 of the family's 1831-position model. Lineage: Eukaryota; Metazoa; Nematoda; Chromadorea; Rhabditida; Anguinidae. The record is from RNAcentral.